RNA transcript from Cynoglossus semilaevis (tongue sole), 7734 nucleotides. It is a transcript of the gene named SRY-box transcription factor 11a, with no coding region annotated. The record is from RefSeq and is a predicted model, not a curated record. Lineage: Eukaryota; Metazoa; Chordata; Actinopteri; Pleuronectiformes; Cynoglossidae. The transcript has 8 exons.
AUUAAUAAUUCUUCUUCAAUAUUUAACACUGCACCUUAUGCCUCCACAGAAGUUUAUUUUUUUGACCAACGCUCUAUGCUUUUAUUUUGAACCUGAUUUCCCUUGCCCUCUUCUUACACGUACUUCCUGUCCUGGUGCUGUUCCUCUUCCUCAUUGAUUGUCAGCUCCACCCCAACUUGCUCCACCUGUGUCUCAUCAGUUCCACCUGUCUCCUUUUGAGCUCAGUCUUUGAGCUUCUGUGUGCCGUGGUCAGUUGAUGGUGUUGUGUUUGCUUUUGUUCAACCGGUUUACUUGGAUUUCCUCAAUAACCAGCCCAAGUGGAAUAAUGUGUUUUUGGAGCUACACCACAGAAACCACGUGUUUCCUUUAUUUUGUUCCUGUGCCGUGUCACUGAUUGCUUCUUUGGAGGCAAACGUCUCGAGCUACAGAAAGAGAUUCAGGCUCAAUAGUGUGUUUCAUUACUCACACUCCAGUGUGUUACACAUCCAGUAACAGGAAACCAAAGGGAGUUUGAAAGAAACCCUUUGGCAUUGCCAUGACACACUAUUCUCCAGGUUUGAAGAACAACCUGUCACUGUCCAGAGCGCACCCUGGAGUUCAACCUCAUGUCAGUGGGAUGUAUUUGUGGAGUGACUUUUGUGCUUGUGGAACCGUUCCAACAAACGAACAAAACAAAUAGACGGAAGGCAACAUUGAUCCCCUCUGGAGUUGAGCAGGACAGAAGUGCAGUGAGGGAAAAGGGCAAAAAGACUGAGAUGGCUCCUGCCAGCAGAUGAGGUAAUUGUUAUUAAUCACUUUCCUCAGAGGGCAGCGUGUUCGAUGCACCCAACAAAAGGCAUGAGGUGGCAGGAGCGGCGGAGGUGCAGGAGGAGCUCCGGCUGAAGGUGGAGCUGCCGAUUGAUCAGGUUGAGGCUGAGGUCGUUGAAGAGGAGUGUGGAGACAGAAGUCCUGCCAACUCUUGUAAAGCCCCUCUCCAUGACUCAGACAGCCCGUGUUUGUCUGCACGUCCCAGCAAACAUAUUAAUGCCCGUCUGAAAGUGGAAGAAGCCUCAAGGCCCCCCAAUAAGCUCCAAGCCAGUGGACACUCCUGAGAAUGAAGGAUGGAGGAGAGGGGAAGGAACACGUCAUGGACAUAUGGACCAAGGUGCUGUUCACUGACUGUGACCAGGAGAGGACACAAAGGAAAGGAAUGUGGCCUCGGGCCUGCAGGACAGAUGAUGUUUCAGUGGUCUCUGGAAGUGAUGCCCCCAGAGGACAACGGAGGAGUGCAUGAGAUCGCCUUCACUCCAGAUGGUGCUUUUUACUUCCUGGUCCUGGCCCUGCUGUGCUGGGACCUUCUCUGAUUGGCUGGCCCACCUGCCCUCCUCCCACCCCUCCUCCUCUGCCUGAGCCGGCUUGGGGCUCCUUGGUGCUUUACAUCCAGUCUCCUGUGAUUUCCGUCUUCUAAGGAAAACUGCCCCAGUCUGCCCUCCUCAGGUGAACAGGGUUUCUGUCACAGCAUCAGGCAGAGUAGGUCAGAAAAUUCAGAGUGAAUAUAUGGGAUCGUUGACAAGUCUGUUCUGCACCAAUCCACUUAUCUCCCAUGUAGCAUCUGGGCAUGGAUAUGAUGGAGUGGACACAAUCCAACAUGGCACCAUGACAAAGUCAACAGUAUAGAAAGCUCCACACGAGGAUAACUGGCUCCAACACCUCUCACUCCACACUGUUGGGGUUCAGCGGUGGCUGUGAAGCUUCAGUCAACACGACAUGGCAGCACACCACCAACUGAACACAAUCCUGGGAGAAAGGUGUGUGUUUUCGCAAUUUGCUUGUGUAAAUCAUUUGUCUAAAACAUAGGACAGUGUUUCUAUUAUGUGUGUUAAGCGGUGACUAUCGCUCACCACACAGUCCCAAACAUUAGAUUGUUUCAUAUAUUUUGUUAUUUUAUUUGCACUCGUUUCAUGCGGCGCUUCUUGAAAACUCAGACAGACGUGAUAGAUGGUCUGCAGGUGUCGAUGUCUUUCACGGCCGCUGCUAGUCGUCUUGCUUCUGAGUGCAUUUCCAGACUUGACCCCAGAUGCACAUUAAAUGUUCCAGCAUGUUUCCCUCUCUGUUUAUUCACUGUGUGCGUGGGUGUGGGGUAAUCGUGUAACACCGAGGGACAAAUUCUGUCCUCAAGUUUGAUGUUGUUUUGGCGAACGUUGAGAUCGUCAGAGCUCUGUCCUGGUCCUCGGGGAGACCAUCUUCAUUUGUGUCUUUUGUUUAUCAAAAUAUGAAUAUUAAGACGGGCCAUUUCUGUGGUCCUAAUGAAGCAGCGUCGCAUACCCACACAUCUGCACGUUUCCAUGCUGCUCCGUAAUUCCUAAUUUCCUGCUAGUUGCACGUCAUGAGAACUGCGAUUUGCAUAUUUGAAAAAGGUCUUCAGUCGGUGGAGUCUCCUCCCCCAUCUCCCCUCUGUAUUCAGAUAUUUUUGUUUAUUGUUCAUUUGCAUUUUUGUGUAAACACCAUUAAUGUAAGUGCCUGUUGCUGUCAUACAAGUUUAAAUUUACAUGUGUUUGAUGCUCAGGACUCCAAGACAAGGAUGCUAAUUGUUCCCACCAAUCUGCCGGCUUGCUCUUUAACAGCCGUGCCACAGCACCGUGAGCCACUCAUCAACUAUUCACCUCAGCCUCCGACAGGUGCUGCUGCUGACUGAGGUGUUUAUACCCUCAGCGUCUCCAGCACAAAACUUUAAUAUUCAUGUCGGCCGAUAAAGGGAAUUACUUCUUGAUUGCUCGGAGGAACAUUGAUGCAUCUGGCAGAUAGUGAAGAGCAUUAGUUUAAGGAUUCAGAUCAGGAUUUUUAUUUAUUUCUUUAUUUCUUCAGUCGUGUUGAACUUUCUCUGGGAGCAAAGUCUAUUAACAGCAGUCAUUUCUUAUCUCACUCGGCACACAUUUGUUCCUGUGCAUGCUAAAAUACAGCUCACCGUGUUGCACGACCUGGUGGGGAUAUUAGUAAAUAAAAAGCCAGUGCCCACAAAAACAAAAACACAUAGGCGGCUCAUGGAGAAGUAGUGAUUCCAUUGGGUCGUGCCUAAUUGGCAGGAUUGGUGCAUUAAUUCAUUAUGACAAGACCUGGACUAUGUGGUGUCCACUCUUAGGAAUCCAUCCAUCCAUCCAUUUUCAUCCAUCCAUUUUCAUCCGCUUAUCCGUUACCGGGUCGCAGCAGUCGCCACCCAAAUGAUACUGCACCGUACCAACCCCCCUAAACCUUUCUGUGGGUGGUGAGUCCACUGGAAGGUACCAACCGCCCUAACCGGGAUUCGAACACCAAUGACAGAGACAUUGCCUCUGGGCCAAAGCAACACCUCUUAGGAAUAGAAUUCUAUUUUGAAUAGACUUAAUUUGAAUGUUUUUUUUGUUUUGUUUUGUUUUUUGUUUUUUGUUUUUUGUUGUCUUUUUUUAUACAAAGCAGGUUUUAAUCUGUGGAAAUUGAUUUAUAAAUAAUCCUCACCUACUUUUUACUUACCUGAUUAGAUUAAGAGGGGGCUCAAACCCAUGUGAGCUGGGGGCCUCUAGUGCCAUCAUCAUCUUUUGGAGAAACACAUCAGAGACUGAAAAAAAAGCAAUUUAUCAUUUUCCUUUAGGCCAGAAAAAAGCCUCAUUUUUGUAAAAGUUUCAAACAUUUAAUCUCUAACAACUGUGCUAACAUUUUUUUAACUUCCAGGUAACUUUCAAAUAAAACACUUGUGUGUCCAGCAAUUGUCAGUAAACAUCAACAUCACUGAUCCUCAACUGGCGGCCCGUGGGCCAAAUCUUGCCCUCCAAAUCAUUGAAAAUGGCCCAGGAUUGUAUUCCAAACUUGUGCAGAUCAAAGAGAAAAUAUGGUGCGGUCCCCGCUAUUAAAGCAACUAAAAUAAAACAACAACUGAUACUUCUUACGUAUCAGUAAUCCCCACCAUUUAUGACUGGAUUCCAUUUGCAUUACAUUAGACAAAAAUUUGAUUUUUAUUUUUUUCAUUUGAUUGUCCGGAAAAAUUCUGACAGAUAUAGUUGGUGAACCUUGAACUACAUUAACCACAAUAAAAUCUUUACAUUAUACAGACAUCUAGCAUGGACAAGAUGUGGGAGGUUCAUGGGCUUCAAGUAGUCCGUGGGCCAAGAGUUUGAUAUCCCUGGGUUAAGUAAACAUAAAGAUGACACUCAUUAACACUCAUGAAGGGAAUAUAGCAAAAACUGAUGAGAAAAGUAUUUGAUAUUUCAAUAGUAUAUAUGUCACUUUAGUCCACUAUUGAUGCAACAAACAAUUUUCCACCCUUUAUGUCAAAGAUGAAGGUUUGACAUGAUCCAGUUUGAUGAAAACAAGCUGUGUUGUCUGCCUGUGACCCGAACCUGCCGGGCCUCUUCCACUGACACUGGCAUCUCUGGGUAAAGAAUGACCCUCAUUUCUGUGGACACGGCACUGUGUCCGCUCCCCCGGAUCUGGGCGCCCAUUCCAUUUCAUGGUGCAUCGCCCUUGCGCGUGAUUAUGCUGUGCUUUCAGGUGCAGAGGAGGAAAUGUUUCGUGAAACUGAUGUCCCUGUCAGCGCCGUGCGACUCUCCCUUCUUUCCCGGCGAGCAUGUCAACCCGCUGAUUGGUGAAUUACCAUUCCAAUGUGAAAAGUGGCUCCGCCCUUGUCCCCAGCUCACUGGCCCUGACAGCAAAUGAGGAGCUGCAUAUGUUAGAGAGGCGAUUCCUCUCCUGGCCUCAUUUGCAUUGGCUGAAUGGAAAUCAAAUGGUUUAAUGUUGAGAUGAAGCUGGUAAAUAGUGCUGAUGUUAACACAUUAAACACACACACACACGUGUGAAUGCACGCUGCACUUCUGCAUGAGUACCACAGGCAUCAAACCAAGAGGAUAUAAUGUUUGCUAGCAAGUAAAUGAGGGAUGACAGGCUCAAGGAUUUGCCUAGUCUCCCCUUUAAAGCCAAAAGUGAUGACAUCAUUUUAGUUCUGAGAAUGUGCUGCAUGCAUAGAGUGGAGCUGAAUCCCAGCCAAAUAAAAUAUGCAUAGCAAGGAGAAGCGGAUGAUUUGGUUUUGGAUAUGUGCAGUAAUUAAUUAGUCAUUAGUUAAUUCUUUGGCCAGCUGAGACAACAAAAUAAAAUGCAGUCAGCAGUUCUGUUAACUUAAUACUCCAAACUCCUGUGUACAGGAUUCUUCAGUUGCUGUUUACUAUUGUAAAUAUUGCCAAAAAUAAAAAGCAACAAUGUGCUUAUUUAAAUAAAAUCUACAUGCACAGUAUUAUUUUCCUGCUUGUGCAAAAUCUAUUGGGGGAUAUGCAGUGGGAAUCAUCAGAAUUUGUUUUUUAUAUAUUGUUAUAACUUGAACCAUAUAACUUGUUGAACCAUGUUGGUUCAACAUGUUGCAACAAAUGUAUAGGUAAAUGUGAGGACAAGUCAUGUUAAUAGACAUUGUAUAAUAUUUGCAUCUGCUCUUAGGCAAGGCUUAAUGGCUAAAUAUUUGGCAACUCAAUAGGACAUACUUGUCUGCGAGUGCACUCAUAUGAAUGUGUGUCUCUCUCUUAUUGUCUGACAGAAUGGCAUGCAGCCCUGGGUUUCUCCUUUGGGCGUGGGCUGGUCUAUUCUAGACUGGAGACACUGACUCAGUAGUCGACUGGAAUCCUUCAGGGCACCAGGGACAUCUGAUUCCACCACUGUCUAAGCCUUGAACUAAAUGCCUCUGCAUUAUUCAUGUGUAUAUCACUUUAUUGCUGUGCAAGGUUUUCACUUAAAGUUUAUGCUGUACCAUUUACUGAAUGCUCCUCCCCAUCCUCCGUAGGUGUCACAUAACAAACUUUUACUAAUCAUACUUUAUCACUUGGCCACUAUUAACGAUUGCAUGGAUGGUGUGGUGCAUGAGGUUUUGGAUGAUUACGUAGAUAAGGUCUUGUCUUCAGAGGAAGAAAGUGAAAUAAAGAGUUUCUUCUUGAACUCACCAAGCAGUUGAGAUUUGUAGAUUAUUCUUCUUCUUAUUGCAGCAUGUGUUUAACAGGCAACAAGACAGGAGAACCUUACAAUUUGUAAUUUUAGUGAUUAACUUUCUUUAAUAUCAAUAAAUGAAUAAUUAUUUUGUAAUAAUUAUAAUUUAUUUUUUCCCUCAAAAUGAACAUGUUGAGCACAAAGCUCAAAGUACAGAAAUUAAGUUGUGUUUUGUUUUAUUUUGUUUUGUAUUUAUUUAUUUUACAAAAGAUAAAACUGUUGGUAAAGCUUGAAUUGCGUGAUAAACGGCGAGAUGACGAUAGCGCGUCUUACGACAGCUUCCUAGGUUACGCAAACUACGUAGUUGGGGUCAGCUACACUACAAAGUUAUCAUCGGAGCUUUCUGUUGGAUUAUUAAAUUAGCGAUUACCUGCACAGCAUUAAGAGACGGCGUGAGUAACCAUUUUAAUCUAACUGUAGAUUUUAUCUGUUUCCACUGAGACUGUUGAAUGUUUAGUUUAGGUGUAAAAUUUCAUUUUUUUUCUGCGUAAGUUGAACAUGGCAACAUUUAAGGUAACUACUCGUCCCUCGUUAGCUGUUUUGAUGGUAGCUCAUAGCUAAUAUAUGACGCUAUAUUCAUUGGCUGUUUCCGUAUUGAAGUCACUGUUUGGGUUCGUUGGAAUCUUUUUAUUGUGUAUUGUAGUUGUACGAAGUAAACUAGAUGGGGCUGAGAAGACUUUUAAUGUGUGUGUGAGUUAAUUUUGCUGUAUUUAUUCCUCUUCAGAAGAAGAUUACUGGAAAAAAAAUCUCAUGAAGAUGGCUUUUAAAAGGCAGACCCAGUUAUAAUGUUCUACAUUUCUAGUGGUUUGUAUUGAAACUGAAUCAAUUUCUCAGUGUUAUAUUUCUUCAUAGUGUUGUAUUAAAAGUCCACAUGUGUACUAAACACUAUGCAAGUAUCUUCAUGUGAAUUACUUGCUUUAGUGACCAACAGAAAUGGCCGAAAAAUAAUCUUUUACAGUUGUUUUGGUGAACUAAUCAAGAUCUACACUACAAAUUUGGCCAUGAUAUUGUGUAAAGUUUAAAGAGUAGAUCUUUGUAAAACAAAAUGUGCACUACUGGGAGAGAAGGCCUAUCCACACACCUGUAAACAUCAGUGAGCUCUGAAGAGGUGGAUGGGUUUGUAUCUUCACAAGGACCUGAGCAGGGGACACUCACACCACUGCUAUUGUCAAGAAAGUACAGCAUUGCCUAUAUGGCCUCAGGCUGAGUGUCCAUAGUCGCCUGAGGCCGUACACAUGUUCUCAGGGACUUCCACCGGGCUACCGUUAGAGACUAUCUUGACAGUCUACUUCACCACCUACUAUUGGGUACUAGCAUGGAGUGCAGCUUGUAGCACGCUAUUUUGAAAUAGAAUGAUAUAGUAAGUUAUCAUUAGAUCCCACAGAUCAUUGGUUUUCAGUGAAAUGAGGAUCACGUGAAGGAUUACAGCUAAUUCUCAUCCUGUUGGAGCCUUAUAUGUAAGUUAAUUCCUUAGAUCGGCUGAUCUGCUUAAUCAGCUCUUUUCUUUCCCUUGAUGCAAACCAAUUGCUGGAGAAAUGUUUUUGUCCUAGCAACGGAUAAACAUAAACACAAGCAGAGUAAGAUGGGAGCUCAAUGGAAUGCCAGGCUGUUUAUGUGGAGUAUUUCUGAAGAUAAUGUGGCAUGACUUGUAGUUUUGAUCUUGAUGGCUAUAACAAAAGACAAAGAAAGAUACUAAAAGGAAAACUUUGUGUUAAUUAUGCUGGCAGAAAGAACAGCAUGAUGGGGAACAGAGACAACAGU